Molecule: ribosomal RNA, 441 nt
Filed under: uncultured bacterium
Lineage: Bacteria
Description: partial 16S ribosomal RNA
Rfam family: Bacterial small subunit ribosomal RNA
Source: RNAcentral
CCUACGGGUGGCAGCAGUGGGGAAUAUUGCACAAUGGGGGAAACCCUGAUGCAGCGACGCCGCGUGAGUGAAGAAGUAUUUCGGUAUGUAAAGCUCUAUCAGCAGGGAAGAAAAACGACGGUACCUGACUCAGAAGCCCCGGCCACCUACGUGCCAGCAGCGCCGGUAAAACGGAGGGGGCAAGCGUUAUCCGGAUUUACAGGGGGUAAAGGGAGAGUAGACGGAGAAGCAAGUCUGAAGGGAAAGCCCGUGGCUUAACCACGGGACUGCUUUGGAAACUGUUGGACUAGAGUGCGGGAGAAGUAAGUGGAAUUCCUAGUGUAGCGGUGAAAUGCGUAGAUAUUAGGAGGAACACCAGUGGCGAAGGCAGCUUACUGGACAGUAACUGACGUUGAGGCUCGAAAGCGUGGGGAGCAAACAGGAUUAGAUACCCUAGUAGUC